Molecule: long non-coding RNA, 210 nt
Organism: Solanum stenotomum
Lineage: Eukaryota; Viridiplantae; Streptophyta; Magnoliopsida; Solanales; Solanaceae
Exons: 2
Source: RefSeq, a predicted model, not a curated record
GAGGGCCUAUCUGGAUACCCUUGAAUUAUUUGAUUGUUUCUUCUCUUCAUCACUACUCUCAAGAGCCUGGACCAUACAGAGAAAGAGCCAAAACCGUCUACAAUGAAUUGAGGAGCAACUGUGCUAUUGAUCAUGGCGGAAGCUUACCAUGAAGUUUAGUAUCACCCUAAUGUAGCAAAAGCAAUCAUUUUUGACAUAUUGAAUUCAGAC